RNAcentral lists this ribosomal RNA (495 nucleotides) under uncultured soil bacterium. RNAcentral's name for it is "bacterial SSU rRNA". It matches the Rfam family "Bacterial small subunit ribosomal RNA", at positions 26 to 525 of the family's 1533-position model. The record is from RNAcentral.
AGAUUGAACGCUAGCGGGAUGCUUUACACAUGCAAGUCGAACGGCAGCGCGGACUUCGGUCUGGCGGCGAGUGGCGAACGGGUGAGUAAUAUAUCGGAACGUGCCCAGUAGCGGGGGAUAACUACGCGAAAGCGUGGCUAAUACCGCAUACGCCCUACGGGGGAAAGGGGGGAUCGCAAGACCUCUCACUAUUGGAGCGGCCGAUAUCGGAUUAGCUAGUUGGUGGGGUAAAGGCUCACCAAGGCUUCGAUCCGUAGCUGGUUUGAGAGGACGACCAGCCACACUGGGACUGAGACACGGCCCAGACUCCUACGGGAGGCAGCAGUGGGAAUUUGGACAAUGGGGAAACCUGAUCCAGCCAUCCCGCGUGUGCGAUGAAGGCCUUCGGGUUGUAAAGCUACUUUGGCAGGGAAGAACGGCGCCGGAUAAUACCUGGCGUCACUGACGGUACCUGCAGAAUAGCACCGCUAACACGUGCCAGCAGCCGCGUAAUCU